AAGAGUUGCAAAACUCCCACAAACCAUCGCGAACGUUACCCAGACGUCGUUGCUUCGGCGGGCUCGCCCGCCGGGGGGACGCUACCAGACUCUCGCAGUUAUUCGGCCUCUCUGAGUAUGAUUUUUUAAAUAAGUCA
Molecule: unclassified non-coding RNA, 137 nt
Filed under: soil metagenome
Description: partial internal transcribed spacer 1
Source: RNAcentral